CCGAACAGUAUCUCCUGAAAGCCCAACAGUUGAGCUGCUGGAUUUCUCAAGAGACUUAUCCGGCCGGCUACAGACCCUUUAGACCCAAUAAUAACGGUUACCACUCGAGCCGCCGGUGUUACCGCGGCGGCUGGCACCGGUCUUGCCCGGCCCUUGCUAUGCAAUGCUUUUUAGGCAUCACGACAGCCAGAUUUGUAACCUGGCACUCGAGGUCCCCUUAUCGCCGUUGCCGGCAUUGUAAAGUUUUCGCGCCUGCUGCACCCCGUAGGGCCUGGAUUCGUGUCUCAGAAUCCAUCUCCGGGCUCUUGCUCUCACAACCCGUACCCGUCGUAGGCUAGUAGGUACGCUACACCCACUACUACCUGAUAGGCCGCAGACCCAUCCUCUGGCGCCGGAGCUUUCGAUCUCGGGGC
This 413-nucleotide ribosomal RNA is filed under the name uncultured archaeon. RNAcentral's name for it is "partial 16S ribosomal RNA". The record is from RNAcentral.